Molecule: long non-coding RNA, 548 nt
Organism: Eriocheir sinensis (Chinese mitten crab)
Lineage: Eukaryota; Metazoa; Arthropoda; Malacostraca; Decapoda; Varunidae
Exons: 3
Source: RefSeq, a predicted model, not a curated record
GUUCUCCAUCCUGAUAACAUGCAGUGGCUACGUGCUCUGGUGAUGGUGGUGGUGGUGGUGGUGAUGGUGCUGGCAGGUCAGGUCACCGCUAAAGCCUGCUGCGGGGGUCAUCACCACGGCGGAGGUCACCACCACGGGGGACACCACGGAGGGCACCACCACGGGGGGCACCACGGGGGACACCACCACGGAGGUCAUCACCACGGAGGUCAUCACCACGGAGGUCAUCAUGGUGGAUAUUUUGGUUAUGGGAAGUAGAAAGAACCUGACCUAACACAGCGGGCAGGACCUGAGGAAGGGUUAUAUUAGUCUCUCUCUCUCUCUCUCUCUCUCUCUCUCUCUCUCUCUCUCUCUCUCUCUCUCUCUCUCUCUCUCUCUCUCUCUCUCUCUCUCUCUCGUCGCAGCUGGGUGGACGGGAUGAGAAGAACAAAGGAUUAAAACAAUGGAAAGAUACCUUCAGAUUCUUUCACUUUCCCAUGUCGAGAAUUAACAAUAAUAACAACAGUAAUGAUGAUGAUGAUGUUUGCAAGAUGAAAAAAAUAAAAUAA